Molecule: long non-coding RNA, 367 nt
Organism: Mytilus californianus (California mussel)
Lineage: Eukaryota; Metazoa; Mollusca; Bivalvia; Mytilida; Mytilidae
Exons: 2
Source: RefSeq, a predicted model, not a curated record
UUGGUUACUCUCCUUGAAGCUGACUGACUAUAAUAGUGACAUUGUGUUUUAUUCAAUCACAUUUAAUACACGAACAAUUAGUAUAACAUUGUUAGGGAAACACAUGUUAAUUUGUCAUAUGACAUUAUCUUUUAAUUUUGAAAAUGUAGUGAUUUCAUAAAGAAAUCAGAGGAGGAGUGUACUGUUUUGAUUAAGUGCCGAAUUGACCAUGUCGUCCUUUUCUUAUCAUUUCAUUCCCCAGUCUCAUCAAUCCCUCGAUUAUUGUCAAAACUGAAACACGUUGUUUUCCUACUUGGAAGUUUUAUCCACCACUAGAUUUUUCACCCUCUCCGGGGGUCUGUAUACCAAUAAACUGUUGAUCUCUCAA